RNAcentral lists this ribosomal RNA (1363 nucleotides) under Triticum aestivum (bread wheat). RNAcentral describes it as "partial small subunit ribosomal RNA". Lineage: Eukaryota; Viridiplantae; Streptophyta; Magnoliopsida; Poales; Poaceae. The record is from RNAcentral.
CUCCUCUUUACUUGCCUUACAAGUAGAUCCCUCGUUAACCUUCCCCCCGACUCUGCUUCCUCCCUCCUCACUUCCCCCAAAUCCCCCACCCGAACCCUCGGAAUCCCUCCCUCGCCGCCGCCGAUCUCCCCGCCGCCGAGAUGUCUCGCCGCUACGACAGCCGCACCACGAUCUUCUCGCCGGAGGGCCGGCUGUACCAGGUGGAGUACGCGAUGGAGGCGAUCGGGAACGCCGGGUCGGCGCUCGGGAUCCUGGCGGCCGACGGCGUCGUCCUCGUCGGCGAGAAGAAGGUCACCUCCAAGCUGCUCCAGUCCUCCCGAUCCGCCGAGAAGAUGUACAAGAUCGACUCCCACCUCGCCUGCGCCGUCGCCGGGAUCAUGUCCGACGCCAACAUCCUCAUCAACACCGCCCGCCUCCACGCCCAGCGCUACGCGCUCUCCUACCAGGAGCCCAUCCCCGUCGAGCAGCUCGUCCAGUCCCUCUGCGACACCAAGCAGGGCUACACCCAGUUCGGGGGCCUCCGCCCCUUCGGCGUCUCCUUCCUCUUCGCCGGGUGGGACAAGAACCACGGCUUCCAGCUCUACAUGAGCGACCCCUCCGGCAACUACGGCGGCUGGAAGGCCGCCGCCGUCGGGGCCAACAGCCAGGCCGCCCAGUCCAUGCUCAAGCAGGACUACAAGGACGGCAUGACCCGCGAGGAGGCCGUCGCCCUUGCCCUCAAGGUCCUCAGCAAGACCAUGGAUUCCACUAGUUUGACUGCGGAUAAGCUGGAGCUGGCCGAGGUCUUCGUGCAGCCCAGCACUGGGGAGGUGCAGUACCAGGUGUGCUCCCCUGACGCCAUGGGGAAGCUGCUUGCCAAGGCUGGGCUCACGCAGCCCGCGCCUGAGGCCUGAUGUGCUGGUUUGCUGUGGCUUGUGAUGCCUACUGCUCUUAGACCGCUUAAUCAGUGAAAAUUGUGAUCCUUGUGCCCAUGCUUGAUUGUUAUUGUGACUAGGGGAUAUGGAAGAAUGCGCUUAUAGAAAACUGCAGUGAAACCUAUGUGUUUGACCAUGUUCUCAUCAAGUGUGUCCAGUAAGCAAGCCCAAAUUGUAAGGAGGUUCUGGUGCUUGGGCCUGUGUUUAUAAAGUUUAGCGCCUUGGAUAGGUUCAAUACUCCUAUGCACCAUCUAGUUUGCCCCAUGGAGAAGUUGGUAAUUAUGUAUGAUUGCAUAAAACAUCAUAUAAGAUUGUAGGUUGGAAUCUUGGUGGUCACAUGUUUUCUUGUUGCUCUAUGUCUAGGUUAUCAUAGCCAACAACAAUGAUCAUGUUAGAGCAAGACAAUGGAAAUAGUAGAAGCAUUGUAUGCUACCAACUGUUUAUGCCGC